This 400-nucleotide unclassified non-coding RNA is filed under the name soil metagenome. Its description in RNAcentral is "partial contains 5.8S ribosomal RNA, internal transcribed spacer 2, and large subunit ribosomal RNA". The stretch from base 1 to 121 matches the Rfam family "5.8S ribosomal RNA", at positions 35 to 154 of the family's 154-position model. The record is from RNAcentral.
GAUGAAGAACGUAGUGAAAUGCGAUAAGUAAUGUGAAUUGCAGAAUUCAGUGAAUCAUCGAAUCUUUGAACGCACCUUGCGCCCUUUGGCCAUUCCGAAGGGCAUGCCUGUUUGAGUAUCAUGAACACCUCAACUCUCAUGGCUUGCCAUGAUGAGCUUGGACUUUGGGGGUCUUGCUGGCCUGUGGUCGGCUCCUCUCAAAUGAAUCAGCUUGCCAGUGUUUGGUGGCAUCACAAGUGUGAUAACUAUCUGCGCUCGUGGUUUCCAUCAGAUAACCUCCAGUGAUGGAGGUUCGCUGGAGCUCAUAAAUGUCUCUCCUAAGCGAGGACAGCUCUUUUAAUGUUUGAUCUCAAAUCAGGUAGGACUACCCGCUGAACUUAAGCAUAUCAAAAGCGGAGGA